This 29-nucleotide small RNA is filed under the name Bombyx mori (domestic silkworm). RNAcentral describes it as "ovarian small RNA-14951". Lineage: Eukaryota; Metazoa; Arthropoda; Insecta; Lepidoptera; Bombycidae. The record is from RNAcentral.
CUGGGUAAUAGCCCACGUGCAGCUACAGA